This 72-nucleotide transfer RNA is filed under the name Ovis aries (sheep). It matches the Rfam family "tRNA". From Rfam's summary of the family: Transfer RNA (tRNA) molecules are approximately 80 nucleotides in length. Their secondary structure includes four short double-helical elements and three loops (D, anti-codon, and T loops). Further hydrogen bonds mediate the characteristic L-shaped molecular structure. tRNAs have two regions of fundamental functional importance: the anti-codon, which is responsible for specific mRNA codon recognition, and the 3' end, to which the tRNAs corresponding amino acid is attached (by aminoacyl-tRNA synthetases). tRNAs cope with the degeneracy of the genetic code in two manners: having more than one tRNA (with a specific anti-codon) for a particular amino acid; and 'wobble' base-pairing, i.e. permitting non-standard base-pairing at the 3rd anti-codon position. The record is from Rfam by way of RNAcentral. Lineage: Eukaryota; Metazoa; Chordata; Mammalia; Artiodactyla; Bovidae.
UCCCUGGUGGCUCAGAUGGUAAAGCAUAUGCCUGCAAUGUGGGUGACCCAGGUUCGAUCCCUGGGUAGGGAA